GCCCGGAUGGUCUAGUGGUAUGAUUCCUCGUUCGGGGUCAUGUUACUUUCGUAAUGUGUAAUAACUCUAUCUCGAGGAGGUCCCGCGUUCAAAUCGCGGUUCGGGCC
Non-coding RNA from Monascus purpureus, 107 nucleotides. The record is from the annotation of a GenBank genome assembly. NCBI's taxonomy places the organism in Eukaryota, Fungi, Ascomycota, Eurotiomycetes, Eurotiales, Aspergillaceae.